GACGAACGCUGGCGGCGUGCUUAACACAUGCAAGUCGAACGGAAAGGCCCUGCUUUUGUGGUGUGCUCGAGUGGCGAACGGGUGAGUAACACGUGAGUAACCUGCCCUUGACUUUGGGAUAACUUCAGGAAACUGUGGCUAAUACCGGAUAGGAGCUCCUGCUGCAUGGUGUGGGUUGGAAAGUUUCGGCGGUUGGGGAUGGACUCGCGGCUUAUCAGCUUGUUGGUGGGGUAGUGGCUUACCAAGGCUUUGACGGGUAGCCGGCCUGAGAGGGUGACCGGCCACAUUGGGACUGAGAUACGGCCCAGACUCCUACGGGAGGAAGAAGUGGGGAAUAUUGCAAAAUGGGCGGAAGCCUGAGGCAGCAACGCCGCGUGCGGGAUGACGGCCUUCGGGUUGUAAACCGCUUUCGCCUGUGACGAAGCGUGAGUGACGGUAAUGGGUAAAGAAGCACCGGCUAACUACGUG
Molecule: ribosomal RNA, 468 nt
Filed under: uncultured bacterium
Lineage: Bacteria
Description: partial 16S ribosomal RNA
Rfam family: Bacterial small subunit ribosomal RNA
Source: RNAcentral